UCGAGAAUCUUCGGCAAUGGGCGAAAGCCUGACCGAGCGACGCCGCGUGCGGGAUGAAGGCCCUCGGGUUGUAAACCGCUGUCAGUGGGGAGGAAGGCUCUGUGAAGAGCAGGGUUUGACCUAUCCGCAGAGGAAGUCCGGGCUAAGUUCGUGCCAGCAGCCGCGGUAACACGAACCGGACAAACGUUAUUCGGAAUCACUGGGCUUAAAGGGUGCGGAGGCGGCCUGACAAGUUGGGUGUGAAAUCCCUCGGCUCAACCGGGGAAUUGCGCUCAAAACUGUUGGGCUUGAGGGAGUUAGAGGUAAGCGGAACUUAGGGUGGAGCGGUGAAAUGCGUUGAUAUCCUAAGGAACACCAGUGGCGAAAGCGGCUUACUGGAGCUUUUCUGACGCUGAGGCACGAAAGCUAGGGGAGCGAACG
Molecule: ribosomal RNA, 420 nt
Filed under: uncultured prokaryote
Description: bacterial SSU rRNA
Rfam family: Bacterial small subunit ribosomal RNA
Source: RNAcentral